This 62-nucleotide transfer RNA is filed under the name Proasellus grafi. RNAcentral's name for it is "transfert RNA-R(CGA)". Lineage: Eukaryota; Metazoa; Arthropoda; Malacostraca; Isopoda; Asellidae. The record is from RNAcentral.
AGGUAAGAAGUGCUACCCACACUUUAACUUCGAACUAAAGAGAGAAUUCAAUUCCUUACCCA